CAGCAGCCGCGGUAAUACGGAGGAUCCGAGCGUUAUCCGGAUUUAUUGGGUUUAAAGGAGCGUAGAUGGAUGUUUAAGUCAGUUGUGAAAGUUUGCGGCUCAACCGUAAAAUUGCAGUUGAUACUGUCAGUCUUGAGUACAGUAGAGGUGGGCGGAAUUCGUGGUGUAGCGGUGAAAUGCUUAGAUAUCACGAAGAACUCCGAUUGCGAAGGCAGCUCACUGGACUGCAACUGACACUGAUGCUCGAAAGUGUGGGUAUCAAACAGGAUUAGAUACCCUGGUAGUCCACACAGUAAACGAUGAAUACUCGCUGUUUGCGAUAUACAGUAAGCGGCCAAGCGAAAGCAUUAAGUAUUCCACCUGGGGAGU
RNAcentral lists this ribosomal RNA (369 nucleotides) under uncultured bacterium. RNAcentral describes it as "bacterial SSU rRNA". It matches the Rfam family "Bacterial small subunit ribosomal RNA", at positions 509 to 881 of the family's 1533-position model. The record is from RNAcentral.